UACGUAGGGUGCAGGCGUUAAUCGGAAUUACUGGGCGUAAAGCGUACGCAGGCGGUUUGCUAAGACAGGUGUGAAAUCCCCGGGCUUAACCUGGGAACUGCGCUUGUUACUGGCAAGCUAGAGUGUGGCAGAGGGGGGUAGAAUUCCAGGUGUAGCAGUGAAAUGCGUAGAUAUCGGGAGGAAUACCAGCGGCGAAGGCGGCCUUCUGGACGGUGACUGACGCUGAGACGCGAAAGCGUGGGGAGCAAACAGG
This 253-nucleotide ribosomal RNA is filed under the name uncultured bacterium. Its description in RNAcentral is "partial 16S ribosomal RNA". It matches the Rfam family "Bacterial small subunit ribosomal RNA", at positions 524 to 776 of the family's 1533-position model. The record is from RNAcentral.